GGAACUUCCGCAAUGGACGAAAGUCUGACGGAGCAACGCCGCGUGAGUGAUGAAGGUUUUCGGAUCGUAAAGCUCUGUUGUUAGGGAAGAACAAGUACCGUUCGAAUAGGGCGGUACCUUGACGGUACCUAACCAGAAAGCCACGGCUAACUACGUGCCAGCAGCCGCGGUAAUACGUAGGUGGCAAGCGUUGUCCGGAAUUAUUGGGCGUAAAGGGCUCGCAGGCGGUUUCUUAAGUCUGAUGUGAAAGCCCCCGGCUCAACCGGGGAGGGUCAUUGGAAACUGGGGAACUUGAGUGCAGAAGAGGAGAGUGGAAUUCCACGUGUAGCGGUGAAAUGCGUANAGAUGUGGAGGAACACCAGUGGCGAAGGCGACUCUCUGGUCUGUAACUGACNCUGAGGAGCGAAGCGUGGGGGAGCGAACAGGAUUAGAUACCCUGGUAGUCCCGCCGUAACGAUGAGUGCUAAUGUUAGGGGGUUUCCCCCCUUAGUGCUCAGCUACCCAUAAGCCCUCCCCUGGGGAGUACGGUCGCAAGACUGAACUCAAAGGAAUUGACGGGGGCCCGCACAAGCGGUGGAGCAUGUGGUUAAUUCGAAGCAACGCGAAGAACCUUACCAGGUCUUGACAUCNUNUGACAAUCCUAGAGAUAGGACGUCCCCUUCGGGGGCAGAGUGACAGGUGGUGCAUGGUUGUCGUCAGCUCGUGUCGUGAGAUGUUGGGUUAAGUCCCGCAACGAGCGCAACCCUUGAUCUUAGUUGCCAGCAUUCAGUUGGGCACUCUAAGGUGACUGCCGGUGACAAACCGGAGGAAGGUGGGGAUGACGUCAAAUCAUCAUGCCCCUUAUGACCUGGGCUACACACGUGCUACAAUGGACAGAACAAAGGGCAGCGAAACCGCGAGGUUAAGCCAAUCCCACAAAUCUGUUCUCAGUUCGGAUCGCAGUCUGCAACUCGACUGCGUGAAGCUGGAAUCGCUAGUAAUCGCGGAUCAGCAUGCCGCGGGAAUGCCUUCUGGG
RNAcentral lists this ribosomal RNA (1015 nucleotides) under Bacillus spizizenii. RNAcentral's name for it is "bacterial SSU rRNA". It matches the Rfam family "Bacterial small subunit ribosomal RNA", at positions 359 to 1377 of the family's 1533-position model. The record is from RNAcentral. Lineage: Bacteria; Bacillati; Bacillota; Bacilli; Caryophanales; Bacillaceae.